AGCGAACGCUGGCGGCAGGCCUAACACAUGCAAGUCGAACGAACUCUUCGGAGUUAGUGGCGGACGGGUGUGUAACACGUCGGAAGGUGCCUUUUGGCUCGGAAUUACUCAGGGAAACUUGUGCUAAUACCGAAUGAGCUAUUCGGGGGAAAGAUUUAUCGCCAUUAGAGAGGCCCGAGUCUGAUUAGCUAGUUGGUGAGGUAACGGCUCACCACGGCGUCGAUCAGUAGCUGGGCUGAGAGGAAGACCAGCCACACUGGGACUGGGACACGGCCCAGAAUCCUACGCGAGGCAGCAGUGGGGAAUCUUGCGCAAUGGGGGGAGGGCUGACGGAGCCAUGCCGCGUGAAUGAUGUAGGUCUGAGGAUUGUAAAAUUCUUUCACCGGGGACGAUAAUGACGGUACCCGGAGAAGAAGCCCCGGCUAACUUCGUG
RNAcentral lists this ribosomal RNA (433 nucleotides) under uncultured bacterium. RNAcentral describes it as "partial 16S ribosomal RNA". It matches the Rfam family "Bacterial small subunit ribosomal RNA", at positions 29 to 507 of the family's 1533-position model. The record is from RNAcentral.